GAUGAACGCUGGCGGCGUGCCUAAUACAUGCAAGUCGAGCGAACGGACGAGAAGCUUGCUCCUCUGAUGUUAGCGGCGGACGGGUGAGUAACACGUGGAUAACCUACCUAUAAGACUGGGAUAACUUCGGGAAACCGUAGCUAAUACCGGAUAAUAUUUUGAACCGCAUGGUUCAAAAGUGAAAGACGGUUUUGCUGUCACUUAUAGAUGGAUCCGCGCUGCAUUAGCUAGUUGGUAAGGUAACGGCUUACCAAGGCAACGAUGCAUAGCCGACCUGAGAGGGUGAUCGGCCACACUGGAACUGAGACACGGUCCAGACUCCUACGGGAGGCAGCAGUAGGGAAUCUUCCGCAAUGGGCGAAAGCCUGACGGAGCAACGCCGCGUGAGUGAUGAAGGUCUUCGGAUCGUAAAACUCUGUUAUUAGGGAAGAACAAAUGUGUAAGUAACUAUGCACGUCUUGACGGUACCUAAUCAGAAAGCCACGGCUAACUACGUG
RNAcentral lists this ribosomal RNA (497 nucleotides) under uncultured bacterium. RNAcentral's name for it is "partial 16S ribosomal RNA". It matches the Rfam family "Bacterial small subunit ribosomal RNA", at positions 28 to 507 of the family's 1533-position model. The record is from RNAcentral.